GACGAACGCUGGCGGCGUGCUUAAUACAUGCAAGUCGAACGGAAAGGUGCUGCUUUUGUGGGGUGCUCGAGUGGCGAAGGGGUGAGUAACACGUGAGUAACACGCCCUUGUCAUUGGGAUAACUUCAGGAAACUGGGGCUAAUACAGGAUAGGAGCUACUGCUGCAUGGUGGGGGUUGGAAAGUUUCGGCGGUUGUGGAUGGAAUCGCGGCUUAUGCGCUUGUUGGUGGGGUAGUGGCUUACCAAGGUUUUGACGGCUAGCCGGCAUGAGAGCGGGGACGGCCACAAGACUCCUACGAGACGGCCCAGUAGCCAACGGGAGGCAGUAGGGGAGAACCUUGCGCAGUGAGCCGAAGUCUGAGAUAACGACGCCGGGAUCGUAAUGACGGGCUACGGGUGGUAAACCGCUUUCGCCUGUAACAAGGCCGUAGUGACGGUAAUGGAUAAAGAAGCACCGGCUAACUACGUG
This 468-nucleotide ribosomal RNA is filed under the name uncultured bacterium. Its description in RNAcentral is "partial 16S ribosomal RNA". It matches the Rfam family "Bacterial small subunit ribosomal RNA", at positions 28 to 507 of the family's 1533-position model. The record is from RNAcentral.